CCCAGGGCUUACGCCCUGGGCUAUUCUUUGCCGCCCCUGACGGGGCU
This 47-nucleotide small RNA is filed under the name Acidobacteriia bacterium SbA2. Its description in RNAcentral is "Solibacteres bacterium SbA2 Acido-Lenti-1". It matches the Rfam family "Acido-Lenti-1 RNA". Lineage: Bacteria; Pseudomonadati; Acidobacteriota; Terriglobia. The record is from RNAcentral.